GCACUACUGGCCUGAAGAAGUAUACAACAACAUGAGUUAUAAGGCACAAUCUCAAAGUAUACGACAACAUGAGUUAUAAGGCACAUCUUGAAGUAUAUGAUAGCAUGAGCUAUAAGGCACAAUCUUGAUCAUAUCAUCAUAAUUCAUAAUAUAUCUCUUUUUGGAAAGUGAUAAAUGGAAGUAUGAACAAUGCCAAUAUCAAAGUCUACACAGUCAGAGGUGGAAUACUUUGCAAAGCAAGCUUAAACUUAAUUUUAAAAACACUGCCAUAUCUUCAUAUAAUCAAUUUAGUUUCAAGGUUCCAUGUGAUGCACAAUCUCGUCAAUAUCUGAUCAUGCUGAACCUAUUACUUUCAAUUUUUUAUUACUUAAUAAGUACUGUCUUUC
Molecule: long non-coding RNA, 386 nt
Filed under: Trifolium pratense (red clover)
Lineage: Eukaryota; Viridiplantae; Streptophyta; Magnoliopsida; Fabales; Fabaceae
Description: long non-coding RNA (TPRA_LNC006728)
Source: RNAcentral